GGGUCAGAAGCACAGCGGGUUGUGCGUUCGGCUGUUAACCGAAUGGUCGAAGGUUCGAAUCCUUCCUGUCCCGCCA
RNAcentral lists this transfer RNA (76 nucleotides) under Klebsiella pneumoniae. Its description in RNAcentral is "tRNA-Asn". It matches the Rfam family "tRNA". Rfam says of the family: Transfer RNA (tRNA) molecules are approximately 80 nucleotides in length. Their secondary structure includes four short double-helical elements and three loops (D, anti-codon, and T loops). The record is from RNAcentral. Lineage: Bacteria; Pseudomonadati; Pseudomonadota; Gammaproteobacteria; Enterobacterales; Enterobacteriaceae.